Molecule: unclassified non-coding RNA, 325 nt
Filed under: air metagenome
Description: partial contains small subunit ribosomal RNA, internal transcribed spacer 1, and 5.8S ribosomal RNA
Rfam family: Eukaryotic small subunit ribosomal RNA (bases 1-46)
Source: RNAcentral
AAGUCGUAACAAGGUUUCCGUAGGUGAACCUGCGGAAGGAUCAUUACUGAAGCAUUUGCAAUGGUUUUGUUGCUGCCUUGAAAAAGGAUUGUGCACGCCAUUCAAUCUUCUAUUUACCCACCUGUGCACCUUUUGUAGACUUUUGUGAAUAUACAUCUCACUGUAAAAAUGUGGAAAUGGGAGCGUAGCCUAUAGCUUGUUCUCAAAUCUAUUCACAGUCUAUAUUUUUUAUACACACUAUUUGAUAUAAAUGAAUGUAUUGCUUUAUGGAUUAAUUUCCAUAUAAAUGUAAAUACAACUUUCAGCAACGGAUCUCUUGGCUCUC